AUCGAACCCUAUUCUUCUCCACGCUGCAUUGAUUUGAUGAAUGAACGGAAACUGGUGAAUGAAAUAGUAUUUUUCAUUGAAGGAGGCGCAGAUAAAAAGAGCGAAGAGAAGAGGUUUUCCCAGAUGCGGCUGUGCUUCGCAUACUGAGUUCCUGCAGUUAGCCACACACGCAGACACAGCAACGCACACACUCAGCCGCUGAGAGAGACACAGAGCUUGGGCAGAGAGCAGACAUUCCCCUGCAGAAGCCGUAGCUAGUGGGCGAUGGCUCCACUACCCUCCUAGCCCACCCCUGCAUAGCGCACGACUCACAACAGGUGACCACCCGAGGAGCAGCUCGAUUGACCAGCUGCAGGUGGCUGGAGUGGUGCUGUGAAGGACCGCUCCUCCGGACCUUGAUGUGGGCUGUUUCACGAGGACGUCCAAUUAAAGACUCUACAAAAACAGUGAGGAGGAGAGCGAUCCCCCUCUGCUGUCUUUCUGAAUGAAUAAAGAUGGACGUCUUUGGAGCUCACAGAAUUUUGCUUGCUUGUCUCUCCCACCUGCCACCCCUCUGUGCUCAGGGCUCUUGUCUGGGUGCUUGGUGUGGCUAGCAUGCUCUUUAUCUCUCUCUCUGAACAGAACCUCACUGUGCUGGGGUCAAGAAAAGGUCUUUACAAAGGUCACUCAAUAGUGCCUGUGUGCGUACAUUCAGAGCGUGAGAGAAGGGAAAUCGGGUUCCAAAUUUAAUGUCGGCACAUUUAUUGAUUAGUUAAUAAACCAAUUAAUACUCUUUGAGUUAGUGGUGUG
This is a long non-coding RNA of Lepisosteus oculatus (spotted gar), 789 nucleotides long. RefSeq lists it as uncharacterized. The record is from RefSeq and is a predicted model, not a curated record. Lineage: Eukaryota; Metazoa; Chordata; Actinopteri; Semionotiformes; Lepisosteidae.